GGAUCCGCCACUGCAUCAAUUCGUUCUUCUUAAUAAACGAUGACCAUCAAACUGUUACAGCAUGUAUUGCAAACUGUUGAAGAAGAACGAAUUGACGGCAUUGACAGUAUGUUAUGAACAGACGUAAUUUAAUUUUAUAUAUAUAUCAGAUAAAUUUGCAUUCAUUUUAAUUAUUUCAAAUAAUUCACUGCGGUCUUUAUUUCAUAGCAAUUCACUUUUUUCACUGCCGAUUGUAUAUAUCAUAGCAAUUCGCUUUUCUCCUUUUGUCACUGCCGAGUCUAAAUUUCAUAACAAUGCACUUAAUUUUCUCAUUUUUUUCCUUCAGAUUAUCAACCGAACCAAAAUGCCGGACCUAAAUGUAAAAGAUAUGUUGUUAUUAUUGUUUUCUGGUUACACCCUGGUUAGUUUAUAUUAUAUGACAUCAUCAAAAAAAGAUGACAAUUCAUUUACGGUUCAGAGUUUUCAGUGUGAUUCAAGUAUAGAUAGUAUAUGCAAGCAACGAAAUACUGUGUCAGGUAUGCUGAAUAGACUGAGUCAAAAGAUGGGGAAGCUGCAGUGUGAGAGAAGCAAAGGGACAGCUGAAGGAGGGGGAUAUUGUAAACGAGGUGUGCAUUUGGGAGCAGAUAAAACACUUCUACCUGCAUUGUCCAACUUUUUAGAAGGAAAAAAAGUCGCUAGCUUCGGGGACGGAACUGGGCAGUAUAAAAAUGAGCUUUUGAAAUUAAAGAAGAUAAAAUCAUACGAUUCAUACGAUGGUGGACCAUUUUCUGAAGAGGAGAGCAAGGGAAUUGUUAGAUAUAUGGACCUUACAAUUCCUCAUUAUGGACUACCAGUGUAUGAUUGGGUAGUUUCAAUUGAAGUAGCUGAGCAUAUACCAAAGCAAUACGAGGGUAUAUUUUUAGAUAAUAUUUUUAGACAUGCAAAAGAAGGAAUUAUUUUAAGUUGGGCUGUUCCUGGACAAGGUGGAUUCCGACAUAUUAACAAUAGAUCGGUCCAAUACGUCAUGCAAGUUAUGAAUAAAAACGGAUUUCAGCUUGAUGAAAAUUCGUCAAAACUUUUACAACAAUCUUGCACUUUUCCACAUCUUAAACGUAACCUCUACGUAUAUACCAGAAGAUUACCAUUUAAUAAUCAAAAUUUGUAUGUAUAACUUAAAGAAUAAGAUAUUGUAGGUGUAUACUAUUGACACAUGGAAUUAAGAAAUAAAGAUAUAUUAUAAAUCUAUCAAUUAAAUCAGAUGUUCAAAAGACAGAUAUGAAUAUACAUAUUUCGGAAUUUUG
Mytilus californianus (California mussel) is the source of this 1280-nucleotide long non-coding RNA. RefSeq lists it as uncharacterized. Lineage: Eukaryota; Metazoa; Mollusca; Bivalvia; Mytilida; Mytilidae. The record is from RefSeq and is a predicted model, not a curated record. The transcript has 2 exons.